This 261-nucleotide long non-coding RNA is filed under the name Zea mays. Its description in RNAcentral is "long non-coding RNA (ZMAY_LNC001369)". The record is from RNAcentral. Lineage: Eukaryota; Viridiplantae; Streptophyta; Magnoliopsida; Poales; Poaceae.
AGGAUACGGUGGUGCCUAUGGUGGCGGUGGCAGCGGCGGCGGCGGCUAUGGUGGUGGUCAGAGUACGAGUUCUUGGGACUGAACUGAACUCUGAUUAGAAGUGAAAAAUGGGCCAACCUUUUGGGCGUGAAAAAUGGGUCAACCGUUAUCGAUUAGUCCCUGUUGGAUGGAGCGAAUGCUUGAAAUUUGUUGCUUGACAUACGAUUAAUCUUGCGUUGUGUUGUGCUAAGGGAUUGGCUUAUGUUAUUAUCUGGAUUGGUG